GGACAAGGACAGAUGAUCGCCGGUCCGCAUUGCGGGCGGGAGGAAAGUCCGGGCUCCGCAGGACAGGAUGGUUCCUAACGGGAACCGGGGGUGACCCUAGGGAUAGUGCCACAGAGAGAAGACCGCCUCCAUGGGCUUCGGCCCCAGGGGGUAAGGGUGAAAGGGUGAGGUAAGAGCUCACCAGGUCCGGCGGUGACGUCGGACGCUCGGUAAACCCCAUCCGGAGCAAGGCCGAAUAGAGGAGUGUUUGAGAGCGGUCCGCUCGAGACUCCCGGGUUGGCUGCUGGAGACCGUCGGCAACGGCGGUCCUAGAGGAAUGAUCAUCGCUUCGGCACAGGUAACUGUAUCGAAGAACAGAACCCGGCUUACGUCCUUGUCCGGCC
Molecule: non-coding RNA, 383 nt
Organism: Desulfuromonadales bacterium C00003096
Lineage: Bacteria; Pseudomonadati; Thermodesulfobacteriota; Desulfuromonadia; Desulfuromonadales
Source: Rfam